Molecule: ribosomal RNA, 468 nt
Filed under: uncultured bacterium
Lineage: Bacteria
Description: partial 16S ribosomal RNA
Rfam family: Bacterial small subunit ribosomal RNA
Source: RNAcentral
GACGAACGCUGGCGGCGUGCUUAACACAUGCAAGUCGAACGGAAAGGCCCUGCUUUUGUGGGGUGCUCGAGUGGCGAACGGGUGAGUAACACGUGAGUAACCUGCCCUUGACUUUGGGAUAACUUCAGGAAACUGGGGCUAAUACCGGAUAGGAGCUCCUGCUGCAUGGUGGGGGUUGGAAAGUUUCGGCGGUUGGGGAUGGACUCGCGGCUUAUCAGCUUGUUGGUGGGGUAGUGGCUUACCAAGGCUUUGACGGGUAGCCGGCCUGAGAGGGUGACCGGCCACAUUGGGACUGAGGUACGGCCCAGACUCCUACGGGAGGCAGCAGUGGGGAAUAUUGCACAAUGGGCGGAAGCCUGAUGCAGCAGCGCCGCGUGCGGGAUGACGGCCUUCGGGGUGUAAACCGCUUUCGCCUGUGACGAAGCGUGAGUGACGGUAAUGGGUAAAGAAGCACCGGCUAACUACGUG